Molecule: long non-coding RNA, 406 nt
Organism: Numida meleagris (helmeted guineafowl)
Lineage: Eukaryota; Metazoa; Chordata; Aves; Galliformes; Numididae
Exons: 3
Source: RefSeq, a predicted model, not a curated record
GGCCCGCUCCGCGCCUCCCUCCAUGUUGCCGCGCGCUGCCCCUCCUGCUUUCUCCGCCCGCCGCAUUGUCGCCCCGCCGCGGCUCCGCGGCCCGCGCUGUCCCCCCGGGCCGGGCAGGAGAGAGGAGAGUCCUUGCCUUCUUCCUGGAAAGAAGAAAGACAACUUGAAGCCCCUCACCAGGGCACUUUCCCCUCUCUUGUGGCUGAACAGCAGCAUUUCUGGCCCUGUACAGUGCUACAAAAGCUGAAGUCCACUUCCAGGAGCAGUGAAUUCUCCACAGCCCUCUUGGCAGGUGGACUAUGUCGAAACAUCUGUCCCUCACCGGAAGAGAAUAGCAUCUCCUGUAGAUUAUCUUGCACAUAGACAAACAGACUGAAACAACUAAUGAAAUAAUAAUAAAUUAUCU